CAAACUCCCACUUUUACGAGGAGCCUGGGAUAAUUCCACUGCAGUAAAGCACUGGGGAGAGAGGAUUAUUGCCUCAUCAGACCCCCCUCACUGCUGGGAAGACAAAGGAAGAGGCAUACCUAAAGGAAAAUUGUGAAGUCUGAUGAGCUAAAAUGCAGUCUGGAGGAAAUCACAGGUUAUUUGCUGCACCUGAACAGAGAAUGUCUAUUCUAAUGACACUGAUGUUCUGCAAGCAAUUCUAGUUUUUACAGGACAACACUGUGAGUUAAGGUGAAGGGAGGCUGCAUCUGGAGCAAUGUGUCUGCUGGAGGUUCCUCAGUGCAAGAGACAUGGAGCUCCUGGAGUGAGUCCAGAAGAAGGCUGUGAAGAUGGUUAAGGGACUGGAGCACCUCUAUUACAAGAAAAAGCUGAGUGAGCUGGGCCUGUUCAGCACUGAGGUGAGACAGCUGAGGUGGGAUCUCAUCAAUGUCUAUAAGUAUCAGAAGGGAGGGUGCUAAGAGGUUGGAGCCAGGUGCUUCUGAGUGAUGCCAAGCAAUAGGAGCAGAGACAACUGGCAGAAACUGAUGCACAGGAAAUUCCACCCAAACAUGAGGAGGAACAUUAUCCUGUGGGUGACCACACACUGGAACAGAUUGCUCAGAGAG
Prinia subflava (tawny-flanked prinia) is the source of this 644-nucleotide long non-coding RNA. RefSeq lists it as uncharacterized. NCBI's taxonomy places the organism in Eukaryota, Metazoa, Chordata, Aves, Passeriformes, Cisticolidae. The transcript is spliced from 3 exons. The record is from RefSeq and is a predicted model, not a curated record.